UGGGCGCAAGCCUGAUGCAGCCAUGCCGCGUGUGUGAAGAAGGCCUUCGGGUUGUAAAGCACUUUCAGCGGGGAGGAAGGCCNNNUGGUUAAUACCUNGNGGNAUUGACGUUACCCGCAGAAGAAGCACCGGCUAACUUCGUGCCAGCAGCCGCGGUAAUACGGAGGGUGCAAGCGUUAAUCGGAAUUACUGGGCGUAAAGCGCGCGUAGGCGGUCUGUUAAGUCGGAUGUGAAAUCCCCGGGCUCAACCUGGGAACUGCAUUCGAAACUGGCAAACUAGAGUCUGGUAGAGGGGGGUGGAAUUCCCGGUGUAGCGGUGAAAUGCGU
This 327-nucleotide ribosomal RNA is filed under the name gamma proteobacterium SCGC AAA031-J21. RNAcentral's name for it is "bacterial SSU rRNA". It matches the Rfam family "Bacterial small subunit ribosomal RNA", at positions 372 to 691 of the family's 1533-position model. The record is from RNAcentral. Lineage: Bacteria; Pseudomonadati; Pseudomonadota; Gammaproteobacteria.